UACGAAGGAUGCGAGCGUUAUCCGGAUUUAUUGGGUUUAAAGGGAGCGUAGGCGGUCUUAUAAGUCAGUUGUGAAAUCCUAUCGCUUAACGAUAGACGUGCCAUUGAUACUGUAGGACUUGAGUACAGAUGCCGUUGGCGGAAUGUGUCAUGUAGCGGUGAAAUGCAUAGAUAUGACACAGAACACCGAUUGCGAAGGCAGCUGACGAAACUGUAACUGACGCUGAGGCUCGAAAGCGUGGGGAUCAAACAGG
This 253-nucleotide ribosomal RNA is filed under the name uncultured bacterium. Its description in RNAcentral is "partial 16S ribosomal RNA". It matches the Rfam family "Bacterial small subunit ribosomal RNA", at positions 524 to 776 of the family's 1533-position model. The record is from RNAcentral.